UACGGGGGGGGCAAGCGUUGUUCGGAAUUACUGGGCGUAAAGGGCUCGUAGGCGGCCAACUAAGUCAUACGUGAAAUCCCUCGGCUUAACCGGGGAACUGCGUGUGAUACUGGAUGGCUUGGAUUUGGGAGAGGGAUGCGGAAUUCCAGGUGUAGCGGUGAAAUGCGUAGAUAUCUGGAGGAACACCGGUGGCGAAGGCGGCAUCCUGGACCAAUAUUGACGCUGAGGAGCGAAAGCUAGGGGAGCAAACGGG
This 253-nucleotide ribosomal RNA is filed under the name uncultured bacterium. Its description in RNAcentral is "partial 16S ribosomal RNA". It matches the Rfam family "Bacterial small subunit ribosomal RNA", at positions 524 to 776 of the family's 1533-position model. The record is from RNAcentral.